CCAGGUCCCUGCAGCCAACUGGCAGCCAGCCUGCCAGGGUGGCCUGUUUUGCGGACGGGUCUUUGUGGAUCUCUGUUGACUGAACCUCCCUCCCGUGGCCAGACUAGGACCUUUUGAGUCACCAGCCUGGUGCCCCUCCUGUCAGAUCCCUCUCAACUGGUUCUGGGCUGUCUCUGGAUCCCUGCUUGUGUGUGUGUGUGCGUGUGCAAGUGUGUGCAUGUGCGCCACAUGUAUGUGGAGUGGGGCUCCGGGUGUCCCUUCUGGAUACAGACCGCGUGCUGCGCCCACGUGGGUGUGGAGUGGGGCUCCGGGUGUCCCUUCCUGCAUCAGACCUCGUGCUGCACCUGCAGGAACGCUUCGUGGUGCACAUCACCGACGUGCUGGCCGUGUCCAUGAUGCUGGGCAUCACGGCGCAGGUGAAGGAGGCUGGCAUCGCCUGGGACAAAGGAGAAAAGAGGAACCUGGAAGUACUCCGCUCAUUCCAGAACCAGAUCGCCGCCAUCCAGCGGGAUGCCGUCUGGUGGCUCCACACUGUGGUUCCUUCCAUCAGCAAGCUCGCCCCAAGGACUACGUGCACUGGUGCGGCCCGGGCCCCGCACAGCCCCUGCCACACAUCCCACUGAGCCGGAACAAGCCAGGGCCCCACACAGCCCCUGCCCCAUACCCCCCUGAGCCGGGACAAGCCAGGGCCCCACACGGGAGCCUGUCCCCUCUCUGGACAGCAGCAGCCGUCAGGCGGCAGGCAUGUCACCCUGUGUACAUUAGAGCCUCCCGUGGGGCCUCUGCCUUGGUUGGGGUGGGGCUGUCAGGCUCGAGCCUGCAUUUCUCUGCAACGAUUUUGGAAAGGACGGUCGGUCGCUGUCCAGCCCCGCAGCCCCGUGAGUGGUCCCUGGGCUCUUUGGUGGUGCUGUGAGGAGGUGCUGAACUUGGCAUCAGGCAGCCCCGCCUCUGAGUGCUUGGGCGUGCGGGAGCGGGGUCCCUUCCCUGGAACUAACAGGGCUGGUCCCUGAGCACCCACGUCAUGACUGAGGGCCCUUCUCUGCCUGCCCAGCCUGCACAAGGUGCUGUUCACAGAGCAACCGGAGACCUACUACAAGUGGGACAACUGGCCACCAGAGAGUGACCGCAAGUGAGUGCACUGCCUCCUGGGCUCCUGUGCGCUGGGCUGGGCAGGGCGGGGGGAGGGGUGCCUGACUGGCUGCAGCAGGAAGGGCCAGUGGGAGUUGGGCCGCUGUUCUCAAGGUCACGUCACCAUCCUGUCCCUCCUCCACGACCCUGGGUGCCUUCUCUCACUCCCAUGCUGGCGUUCCUGCGCCACUGCAGGGAUUCAGC
This 1332-nucleotide long non-coding RNA is filed under the name Rhinopithecus bieti (black snub-nosed monkey). Its description in RNAcentral is "lncRNA (ENSRBIG00000046723.1)". The record is from RNAcentral. Lineage: Eukaryota; Metazoa; Chordata; Mammalia; Primates; Cercopithecidae.